Molecule: long non-coding RNA, 229 nt
Filed under: Brassica napus (rape)
Lineage: Eukaryota; Viridiplantae; Streptophyta; Magnoliopsida; Brassicales; Brassicaceae
Description: long non-coding RNA (BNAP_LNC019307)
Source: RNAcentral
AACUUUAACUCCUUCUCUUUGAAAUCUACAAGGGAUUUUCCAUAACCUCAAAACAUUACUUAGUUCCUAACAACUUUGCUAGCCCCCCUUUUCUUUCUUUUUCUUUUCUUUUUAUAUUUUAUUUCUCUCUUUUUUUUAAAGGAUCGAUACAGACGAUGGACGACGAUUGAGUCGACGUCUCCUCCGUAUUCUCCGUGAGAAGAAGGAUCGACACCCAGCACCGACGAGG